Molecule: long non-coding RNA, 1021 nt
Organism: Thunnus maccoyii (southern bluefin tuna)
Lineage: Eukaryota; Metazoa; Chordata; Actinopteri; Scombriformes; Scombridae
Exons: 3
Source: RefSeq, a predicted model, not a curated record
UUAUCCUCUAGACGGUCACAGUGAGAUGGAGCCAAUCUCAGCUGGACACUGGUUGAGAGGAAGGGGCUGUUGGGCUCUUGGGAAUAAAAGUGAUCAUGCAGAACAUCAAGUCGCAACUCAGGAAGGGGAGAUUCUUGCUACGGCUGUUUAGUCAAAAAAUUGACACAAGAAAGGAAGUUGUGGUGUUACAAAGAGCCCCGACAGAAAAAAACAUCAGGAUGUUGCUGAAAAGAUGUAAACUGGUGAAAUCCUGUACACAGUGGACAUACUGUACUAGCUGGACUGGCUUUUCUGAAUAUUAAUGGAUAUUCUUUUUGUCUUGCAAAGUGCCACUUCAGAUCACAACACUAAAACUGAACUUGCAGCAAUUAACGUCAAAAAAUGCUGGCACAAGUUGCCACAUUAAAAUAAGUAAAAUGACCUCUUGUUCCAUUCUGAGAUAUUCCCAUUUCAAGAUGUAAUAACUGAAUGUUUUUUUUUACUUUAGCACUUUCAGUUUCAAAUAAAUGGGUUAAAUAAUGGGUACAGUUUCCACAAAGAAAAUCCUCUAUAUUGUACAGCUGUUCAAUGUUUGUUUGACAGUGUUUUCACUUUAUAGAAAUUAAUCUUUCAUUUUAAUUUUGUGAACAAAUUUGUUUUAAAUCUGUAUUUACUCACUCUCGAAAGGCAAAUUUCCUCAUGGAAGUUACAGAACUUGGUACCAAUUGAUAUUAUCAAACGUUUAUUAAUUUCUAGUAAAUAUUACCUUUUUGAGUAUUUCAGUGUUUACAUGCAACUUGUGCAAUAUGUGAGCAAAUCUUUUCAUUUUAGCUGUUCAGUAAUUAUUAUAAUAAGUUUAUUAUGAUUUUGUAUGUUUAUCAUUUGUUCUAAAUGAUGUUGGCAAUCUGUGCAGUUGUCAUAUAGCUGCCAGGUCAGCCAGAUGAUCAUAAUUCUAUUUUAUAUAUCCCUUUAUGAUUAAAUGAUUAACACGAUUUAAAUCCCCAUGUUAUGUUUUUUAUUUUUGUGCAUUUCCCUUUUGAUG